UACGUAGGGUGCGAGCGUUGUCCGGAAUUAUUGGGCGUAAAGAGCUUGUAGGCGGUUUGUCGCGUCUGCUGUGAAAUCUCAAGGCUCAACCUUGAGCUUGCAGUGGGUACGGGCAGACUAGAGUGUGGUAGGGGAGACUGGAAUUCCUGGUGUAGCGGUGAGAUGCGCAGAUAUCAGGAGGAACACCGAUGGCGAAGGCAGGUCUCUGGGCCACUACUGAUGCUGAGAAGCGAAAGCAUGGGGAGCGAACAGG
This 253-nucleotide ribosomal RNA is filed under the name uncultured bacterium. RNAcentral's name for it is "partial 16S ribosomal RNA". It matches the Rfam family "Bacterial small subunit ribosomal RNA", at positions 524 to 776 of the family's 1533-position model. The record is from RNAcentral.